UUCUUGCCUGAGAAAUCCCAUGGACACAGGAGCCUGGCGGGCCACAGUCCAUGGAGUCACAAAAGAGUUGGACACGACUUAGUGAGUCAAAAAAAAAAACAAACAGAACUAACAUAGCGAUUGUUCAAGAAGUAAACAGGUUAUCUUAAAAGGUUAGAAGGAAAUCAAGCUGGAAAGAUAUGAGAGCAUGGAGAGCUACCAGACUGGGGAAUUAGAACUUGAUUAGUGUGUGUUGGUGAGCUACUGAAGGUUUUAGGCAGGGAAUAUGAGCAAAGCUAUACCAGGGGCUGGUUAUGCAGGCAGGACCACUAUAGCAUGGGUCAUAGUGGGAAGCACGACAGUCCAAGCCAUCAGUCAUUUAUUCAUUCAUUCAUCCACUCAUGUAUUCUAGUUAAUGCUUGUCUACUCCGCUGGACAGCACUUUCCAUGAUGGCAGAGAGUGCUUGCUUUUUUUGCUCACUACUUUGUCCCAGCACCCACACAGUACGUGGCUCACUGCAGGUGCUUACUACCUGCUUGUGGAAGGAGGAAGAGACAGACAUCAAGCACGUAGAGAUAAGUAGGGUGGUGUCCAUGCUGAAAGAGCUGAAGGCAUUUUGGAGAGAGAUAUGAACUUGGCCACUAAUUAGAGUGCAGGAGAUUGGGGGUGUGGAGCGCAGGAGUCAAAGUGACUCAGAUGAUGAGCUGGGCGAUUGAUAGAAGGGUGGUCCCAGAGGCAGGAAUAGGAGGGUCGGAGGAGGGUCAGUCAACAUUGAGAUGACAAUUCAUCUUUAGUAAUAUUUGAGUAAAUGCAUCACCAACCACAUUCAGUCUGUUGUAAAAUCAACCCAACGGAGUCUCAACCCCAUUUCAACCAAACUGUUGUCCCACUUUGUUAUCCCGGCAGUACAGCCGCGAGUUCAGAUGUCUGCUCUGCUCUGACAUUGGGGCUGGAUUCCCACUGGUUUCCUGUGGGGCAUUAAUUAAGUGUCCAGCCAUUUCCACACCAUGUUAACUGGUUCACGGCUGUACCCCCAGUGCCUGCCACAUAACAAGUGCUCAAUAAACAUUUGUUGUUUGAAUGAAAUGGUUUUCUGUUCCAGGCAUUUACUGAUUUCCCUCUGCCCGUGGGUGGCAGGGGAGCCAACAUCCAGAGAUGACACUGCAGAGCGGGUGAGUACCAGGGGAACAAGGCAGGGAUUGGCACUCUGUGCUUAGCGUUCCAUGAAUGUAAAGGCGGGGAAGCCAGUUUGGAGAACAAAAGCAGAGUUCCCUUGGCAGUUCGGGUAAUGGAAACAAGUCUGACCUCAGACACUCAGCUGCUGUUAAAAUCAACAGGAUGAAUAAUUAGAAGAGGGAAGCCAGAGAGAACUCACAAGCUGUUGCAGCUGCCCAAAGCACGGUUUUCGAUCAAUUGAUGAUACAGUAAGAGUGAGGGCAGGUCACUGUGUGUGCCGUCUCCUGUGUUGUGAGGGUGCUCCCCUCCUCCUAGGGGAUGGUCCAGCUCUUAAACCAGGGCAGGAAGCUCGGGGAGGUGUGCUAUUGUUGACUCUCAAAGUCGCCCCUGGGACAUCACCUGUGUGUUGUAAAGCCUGACUCUGGAAAUUAUCGCUGAAAUCUGCUUCAUCCACAGUGAAGCUUCAAGGGUCAGGGACUCUGGGAGCUGCACAGGAUUGGGACUCCAGCAUCUGCAGAGAGUCCGUCUUCUUGCAAAAAGACUGUGUUGAGUACUGCAAACCUGUUUCUUGCUGGAGUGCCACCCAUGGUGAACCCCACACACAAAAAUGUGUAGAUUCUGGCUCUUUGUGGAAAAAAAAUGCAGAAAAUAUGGAAAGAAGGAAAGAAGAAAAAUAUCACAUUGUUCCAAUCCUCAAAGAAGCCUAUGCUGUUUUGCAGAUACUGAAACCCCCACCAGGUGGAAGAAGUCAACUGUACGCUGCCCACAAGCACAGAGACCCCAGAAAGGUUGGAACCCAAAGUUGAUGACAUUGACUCCUGAUGACCUCAUCACCAGCCAAUCAGAAGAAUAUCAGCAAGCUGAUCACACAAACCCCAACCCCUCUCUCUCACCCUGAAAGCCUUUGGGGAGUUGGGCCUCUUAAGCAUUAGCUGCUCUGGACUCCUUGCUUGGCACCCUGAGAUAAAUGCUGCACUUUUCCUUCACCACAAACUGGUGUCAGUGGAUUGGCUUUCCAGUGCCCGGGGUGAGCAAACCCAAUGUUGGUUCCAUAACGGACUGACUCAGGUGACUGGGGUGGAGGAUGCUAGCAAGUCUGAAAUCUGCAGCAGGCUGGAGAGUUAGGUGGGCUUCCCUUGUGGUUCAGCUGGUAAAGAAUCCUGUAAAGCUGGUAAAGGCUGGAGAGUUAGGUAAGGGAAGAUGUUCGCAUCUCAUCUGAAAGCAGUCUGGAGGCAGAACUUGUCCCUCAUGGAAACCUGAAUCUUUUUCUCUUUUCCUCUGAAGUCCCUCAGCUGAUGGAGGAGGGUCAUCUCCUUUACUCAAAGCCUCCUGGUUGAAAUGUUAAUCACAUCAAAGAAAAAAAAUCUGAAAAAUACUUUCAGAGCGACAUUUCUACUGGCGUUUGACCAAACCAUGGGGCAUCUUCGUGUGAUCCAGACAAUUUGAUGUGUAAAAUUAACCAGCACCAUGGCCCUGGUGUGUGAGGUGGUAGGUAGGCACUUGAUAUUUUCAGACUGCGUGGACCACUGACCAGGAUCACCCUCCCCUUGGCCUCAGCCUUGCUCUCCUCCCUGGCAUCUACUCCCACCUGGUACCCUGUAUGUUUUACGUAGUUACUUGCUGGGGCCUGUCCUGAAUGUGCGUCUGUCCUGUCCUCAGUGCCCAGCAGAAUGUCUGACACACAAUAGUGAAGCCAAAGUCAAAGUGUUAGUCGUUCAGUCGUA
Molecule: long non-coding RNA, 2880 nt
Organism: Bubalus bubalis (water buffalo)
Lineage: Eukaryota; Metazoa; Chordata; Mammalia; Artiodactyla; Bovidae
Exons: 3
Source: RefSeq, a predicted model, not a curated record